AUUGGCCAGUAGCAUAUCCCUGAUCUCAGUGAGUUCCUCCUUGGUGAACACAAAGCCCAUGCUUCCCAGGAUAUGAGGUCUGAGACCCUGGUCGUGCCGAGGCCUGCAGCCCGUGCCUGGCCGAACAAUGCAGUGUGGUUGCUGUGCAGCAUCUGAAUCUUCACAGCAGAGGCGCCAGGGGUAACAUAAAAGCCAUGGUUAUGAGCCCCAGAAGAUAGAGCAUAAGUGAACAACAGAGAGGGCCUUUCUCACACUCCUCAAUGAAAAUUGAAGCCCACUGGAAAAGUGAAGAAAAACUUCAGUAAAAGCUCACUGGACCAUCGUGGUUGGAGGUCAGGGACUUCAACUUGGACCUUGCAGCCAGAAAUCAGCCUGAAUCUCAGUAGACUACAGCUGGCUUCCUGAGAAUAAUCAACUAAGACCCACACACUGCUAC
This is a long non-coding RNA of Heterocephalus glaber (naked mole-rat), 436 nucleotides long. The record is from Ensembl. Lineage: Eukaryota; Metazoa; Chordata; Mammalia; Rodentia; Bathyergidae.